AUACAUAUAACAAUGGCAGAGUGAAGAUAGAGAAAUAAAGAUAUCAU
Molecule: non-coding RNA, 47 nt
Filed under: Trypanosoma brucei brucei
Lineage: Eukaryota; Euglenozoa; Kinetoplastea; Trypanosomatida; Trypanosomatidae
Source: RNAcentral